This 69-nucleotide ribosomal RNA is filed under the name Vibrio parahaemolyticus. Lineage: Bacteria; Pseudomonadati; Pseudomonadota; Gammaproteobacteria; Vibrionales; Vibrionaceae. The record is from RNAcentral.
CUUGGCGACCAUAGCACUUUGGACCCACCUGAUUUCCAUUCCGAACUCAGAAGUGAAACAAAGUAGCGU